Long non-coding RNA from Magallana angulata, 525 nucleotides. RefSeq lists it as uncharacterized. The record is from RefSeq and is a predicted model, not a curated record. NCBI's taxonomy places the organism in Eukaryota, Metazoa, Mollusca, Bivalvia, Ostreida, Ostreidae. The transcript has 4 exons.
UCCUUCGCAUGGGGCGAAAAACCUUGGGAAAAAGAUUGUGAAGGUUACCCAAGAACAGAAAACAAACAGACCUCUACUCGAAUGGUCCCGUGAUGUAGUUAAUCAUUUUUGGCAUUGUGCUGAUAUAUCUAAAACUACGGAAGAGUUUGUGGGAAUAUGGUAUGGGAUCUUGCACCAUACUGUUAAUGAGCAUCAGUGGAUGAUUUCUUAUGGUGACAAUGUACCAAAUGAAUGACAACAUGGACCACUGUCAUCUGAACGUGACAAGGGAUGGCUCAAGGGUGCGACUCCUCCUCAUGACGCAUUGAUAAAGAUAGUGAUGGACAAACGCUUAUUUCGGAAAAUACCCUACUAUCUCCAUUGCAGGUGAACAGCCGAAUUGGAGAACUUCCAUAACGUCAUAUUGAAAUAUGCCUCUAAGCGCCACUCUUAUGGUCCACUAACAUACAAUGCCAGAAAUGAGUUAGCAGCAAUUGACCAUAAUGCACACUGCGAAAGGGAAGUUGUGGUGAAUAAAGAUGGGAG